GAUGAACGCUGGCGGCGUGCCUAAUACAUGCAAGUCGAGCGAACAGACGAGGAGCUUCUCCUCUGACGUUAGCGGCGGACGGGUGAGUAACACGUGGAUAACCUACCUAUAAGACUGGGAUAACUUCGGGAAACCGGAGCUAAUACCGGAUAAUAUAUUGAACCGCAUGGAUCAAUAGUGAAAGACGGUUUUGCUGUCACUUAUAGAUGGAUCCGCGCCGCAUUAGCUAGUUGGUAAGGUAACGGCUUACCAAGGCAACGAUGCGUAGCCGACCUGAGAGGGUGAUCGGCCACACUGGAACUGAGACACGGUCCAGACUCCUACGGGAGGCAGCAGUAGGGAAUCUUCCGCAAUGGGCGAAAGCCUGACGGAGCAACGCCGCGUGAGUGAUGAAGGUCUUCGGAUCGUAAAACUCUGUUAUUAGGGAAGAACAAAUGUGUAAGUAACUAUGCACGUCUUGACGGUACCUAAUCAGAAAGCCACGGCUAACUACGUG
Molecule: ribosomal RNA, 496 nt
Filed under: uncultured bacterium
Lineage: Bacteria
Description: partial 16S ribosomal RNA
Rfam family: Bacterial small subunit ribosomal RNA
Source: RNAcentral